GCACGUGAGUGCUUCUCUUACCUGCUGCUUGGUUACGAUCACAGCUGAACAUACAGCUGCCUGUGCGGCUUAGAAGAAAACUCAACCAGCCAUGGCCACCUUCCCAUUUAUUUGAUAGGUGACUUCCUGUUCUUUCCAGUUAUUGUUAGAUAAAAGAGUAUUUAAGUGCUCCUUCCACUCGGCCUGAAGGAAAGGUGUUUAGAAUAUCCAUAGGUAUAACCACGUCUGUAGGUCUGCACAAUGACAGCUGCAGUGUUACGAUACCGUGCCACAGUUUAUCCUAUCUAUUGAGAGGGAAGCGAUCUUCUAAUUAACAAUUAUUCAGGUUAGUUUGUGGUUUAAUGAACAUUUUUGGAGCAGUCAAAAUAUUCGAAAAACACAAAAGCAAAGCACAUGAAAUGUGAAAUUCCAAGUGAAUUUCAAGUCUGUCCUUAAUUUCCAGUGCAUAUUUUCACCUGAGCUUUCAACCGAAGUGCUGUCAUGCAAGUUGUUCUCAUCAGGGGAACAGGCUGACCUGCACUUGAGAGAAUUCCUGCUCCUCUUCCACAAACAAGACUUUUCACAGAACACAGGGAGAACGACACAGCAACUACAGACAGGUGAAACUUUUCAAGGCAACUGGCAAAAGCAACUGAAGCACAAACCUUGUUUGCAAUGGAGAACUUCUAUUAUGGGACACAGAGUCUUGAAAGAAGACCCAGGUCUCCUGAAAUGUGUUUUAGGCAAUUUUUUAUUUAGAAGAUGGAGAAAACGGGUGGAAACACUAUUUAAAAUCUUGAUUAAUAAAAGAGAAUGGCUGAAAAUAUAAAGGUGUCAUGAUCAGUGGGAAAGGAGGGAAAGCUGUUACUGAAAGAAAGGCCUCAACAGAACAACAAACCACCUCACACAGAAGGCACACAGGGAGAGCAUUAACAACCAACAUGAACAAGAGUGUAAUGCAGCACUAAUGGAAUAUAUAUUAUAUAGAAUAUAUAAGCAGUCUUUCCAAAUUGUGCAAAAAGUGGAAACAAGCACACUGUUAAGAAUUAGCACUGCAGAAAACCAUGGGCAGGCAGGAACAAAACGAGAGACAAAGGUCCAAAAUGAGUGCCAGAGGAGGAUAUAGGGACACGUUAUACCUAAAUGCACUGGAAAUAAAAGCAAAACAGGUGAAAAUACUGUUCACUGCUGACAGAAAAGGAAGGCACACACACACAAAAAAACCAGCACGUUAGAUUCUUCAGCCUUCAAAACUGCCCUGUAACCUGUUACUGAACCCAACGCUUUUGGGAGGUGACAACAACAAGUAGCAGCAGGAAAGAACACAUUACAUUGAAUUGGUUACGUGGUUACUCAGGUUGGCAGUGCCUGGAAAACACACUCAAAUAGUUCAGGAGGCCAGCCAGAGAACUUCUGAAAUAACUGGUGUGUAUCUACAAAAAAAUAUCGUGGAAUUUGCAGGUUCCCCAUUGAUUGACUGCAGGAAGGAGAAGAAAGGUGAACUUGUGAAUGGAAAACCGUUCCGAGUAAAUCCAAGGUUCCAGGAAGAUAUACUGACACGUACUUUGAGAAUGAGAGACUGACAUAACAGGUGCCACGAGCCCUGCUGGAACGCGUAGUUAGGACAAAACGAAGCAUCGGUUUUGCCCGGGACCUCAGCACAGGGUCUACCUCACCCCGAGGCCCCGCUCCAAACAGCACCUCGGGCCGCUGGGGUGAGACGCAGCCGAGCGAACGGCGCCUACCAGCUGUAGCCGGGGCCGACAGCCCCCGCCCGCCGCUGCCCGUCCCGGAGGCACUCGGGCUGCGCGGCUGCACAGCUCCGUGCCGCCUCCUCCUGCCCCCUGCCCGGCACCUUCCUGCCCGCGCCGACACCAACACCGCACGCAGCUCCGCGCCCCGACCUCGGCUCCCUGCGGACAAAGGCAGCG
RNAcentral lists this long non-coding RNA (1910 nucleotides) under Gallus gallus (chicken). RNAcentral's name for it is "long non-coding RNA NONGGAT006692". The record is from RNAcentral. Lineage: Eukaryota; Metazoa; Chordata; Aves; Galliformes; Phasianidae.